GUUAGGUUUUGUCUCAGGGUUUUGGGAGUCUAUCGUGCUGAUAACGUGUUGUAAUUAGAGAGUUUAGAGACUGAAUAUUUUUGUUGUUAUUAUUAAUGAUCAAAUGGGUUCCUUUAUAUAAGGAUUACAAGAUGAAGAUAAAUGGAAAGUAUCCAAAACCUAAAUUCACUAGGAUUAGGAAAACUACUAAUACAUAAUAAUGGAAAGAAUACAUCUACUAGGAAAAGGAAAGGGUUUCUUUUUCUCCAAGCUUUGUGGCCGUUUUUCUCUCUUCUGAAGUUGGCUCUCUCCCUCCUCUCUCUAGGCUUCGGCCAUCUCUCCAUCUUCUAGGUAUUGAGCCGGUCUCGGUCCAAUACCUGGUUAAUGGCAAUUCACUACAUGAUUUAUAACACUGAUGUAUAU
Molecule: long non-coding RNA, 402 nt
Filed under: Brassica napus (rape)
Lineage: Eukaryota; Viridiplantae; Streptophyta; Magnoliopsida; Brassicales; Brassicaceae
Description: long non-coding RNA (BNAP_LNC011024)
Source: RNAcentral